Molecule: transfer RNA, 90 nt
Filed under: Burkholderia pseudomallei
Lineage: Bacteria; Pseudomonadati; Pseudomonadota; Betaproteobacteria; Burkholderiales; Burkholderiaceae
Description: tRNA-Ser(cag)
Source: RNAcentral
GACGAAUCGCCGAGCUUCGCGGCGAAUGGUCAGUACAUUCUGUACGCUACACAAUCGGGGGGCCGCAGCGUGCUGGCUGCCGUUCCGUCC